Molecule: ribosomal RNA, 497 nt
Filed under: uncultured bacterium
Lineage: Bacteria
Description: bacterial SSU rRNA
Rfam family: Bacterial small subunit ribosomal RNA
Source: RNAcentral
GGCUCAGAUUGAACGCUGGCGGCAGGCCUAACACAUGCAAGUCGAGCGGUAGAGAGGUGCUUGCAUCUCUUGAGAGCGGCGGACGGGUGAGUAAUGCCUAGGAAUCUGCCUAGUGGUGGGGGAUAACGUUCGGAAACGGACGCUAAUACCGCAUACGUCCUACGGGAGAAAGCGGGGGGAUCUUCGGACCUCGCGCCAUUAGAUGAGCCUAGGUCGGAUUAGCUAGUUGGUGAGGUAAUGGCUCACCAAGGUUUUUCGACGAUCCGUAACUGGUCUGAGAGGAUGAUCAGUCACACUGGAACUGAGACACGGUCCAGACUCCUACGGGAGGCAGCAGUGGGGAAUAUUGGACAAUGGGCGAAAGCCUGAUCCAGCCAUGCCGCGUGUGUGAAGAAGGUCUUCGGAUUGUAAAGCACUUUAAGUUGGGAGGAAGGGUAGUAACCUAAUACGUUGCUACUUUGACGUUACCGACAGAAUAAGCACCGGCUAACUUCGUG